Molecule: ribosomal RNA, 548 nt
Filed under: Clostridium sp. enrichment culture clone M4C6
Lineage: Bacteria; Bacillati; Bacillota; Clostridia; Eubacteriales; Clostridiaceae
Description: bacterial SSU rRNA
Rfam family: Bacterial small subunit ribosomal RNA
Source: RNAcentral
CAGUGGGGAAUAUUGCACAAUGGGCGAAAGCCUGAUGCAGCAACGCCGCGUGAGUGAUGAAGGCCUUCGGGUUGUAAAGCUCUGUCUUUUGGGACGAUAAUGACGGUACCAAAGGAGGAAGCCACGGCUAACUACGUGCCAGCAGCCGCGGUAAUACGUAGGUGGCGAGCGUUGUCCGGAUUUACUGGGCGUAAGGGAUGCGUAGGCGGAUUUUUAAGUGAGAUGUGAAAUACCCGGGCUUAACUUGGGUGCUGCAUUUCAAACUGGAAGUCUAGAGUGCGGGAGAGGAGAGUGGAAUUCCUAGUGUAGCGGUGAAAUGCGUAGAGAUUAGGAAGAACACCAGUGGCGAAGGCGACUCUCUGGACCGUAACUGACGCUGAGGCAUGAAAGCGUGGGUAGCAAACAGGAUUAGAUACCCUGGUAGUCCACGCCGUAAACGAUGAGUACUAGGUGUAGGAGGUAUCGACCCCUUCUGUGCCGCAGUUAACACAAUAAGUACUCCGCCUGGGAAGUACGAUCGCAAGAUUAAAACUCAAAGGAAUGGACGG